RNAcentral lists this ribosomal RNA (230 nucleotides) under uncultured bacterium. RNAcentral describes it as "partial 16S ribosomal RNA". It matches the Rfam family "Bacterial small subunit ribosomal RNA", at positions 118 to 347 of the family's 1533-position model. The record is from RNAcentral.
UGGGCAACCUGCCCCCAGACACUGGGAUAACUCCGGGAAACCGGGGCUAAUACCGGAUACUCUCAGCCGACCGCAUGACCGGCUGAGGAAAGCUCCGGCGGUCUGGGAUGGGCCCGCGGCCUAUCAGCUUGUUGGUGGGGUAACGGCCUACCAAGGCGACGACGGGUAGCUGGUCUGAGAGGAUGGCCAGCCACAUUGGGACUGAGACACGGCCCAGACUCCUACGGGAG